Molecule: ribosomal RNA, 253 nt
Filed under: uncultured bacterium
Lineage: Bacteria
Description: partial 16S ribosomal RNA
Rfam family: Bacterial small subunit ribosomal RNA
Source: RNAcentral
UACAGAGGUCCCGAGCGUUAGGCGGAAUCACUGGGCUUAAAGCGUGUGUAGGCGGAUCGGUAAGUACCUUGUGAAAUCCCACAGCUCAACUGUGGAACUGCUUGGUAUACUGCCAGUCUUGAGCCAGCUAGGGGCUACCGGAACAAAUGGUGGAGCGGUGAAAUGCGUAGAUAUCAUUUGGAACGCCAAUGGUGAAAACAGGUAGCUGGGGCUGUGCUGACGCUGAGACACGAAAGCCAGGGGAGCAAACGGG